This 73-nucleotide transfer RNA is filed under the name bacterium HR10. It matches the Rfam family "tRNA". From Rfam's summary of the family: Transfer RNA (tRNA) molecules are approximately 80 nucleotides in length. Their secondary structure includes four short double-helical elements and three loops (D, anti-codon, and T loops). RNAcentral also lists the same sequence under 1 other name. The record is from Rfam by way of RNAcentral.
GCGGGCGUGGCGCAAACGGUAGCGCACGAGCCUUCCAAGCUCGGUGUUGCGGGUUCGAGUCCCGUCGCCCGCU